CCUACGGGGGGCAGCAGUGGGGAAUAUUGGACAAUGGGGGGAACCCUGAUCCAGCCAUGCCGCGUGUGUGAAGAAGGCCCUCGGGUUGUAAAGCACUUUCAGUGAGGAAGAACGCCUGGUGGUUAAUACCCAUCAGGAAAGACAUCACUCACAGAAGAAGCACCGGCUAACUCCGUGCCAGCAGCCGCGGUAAUACGGAGGGUGCGAGCGUUAAUCGGAAUUACUGGGCGUAAAGCGCGCGUAGGUGGCUUGAUAAGCCGGUUGUGAAAGCCCCGGGCUCAACCUGGGAACGGCAUCCGGAACUGUCAAGCUAGAGUGCAGGAGAGGAAGGUAGAAUUCCCGGUGUAGCGGUGACAUGCGUAGAGAUCGGGAGGAAUACCAGUGGCGAAGGCGGCCUUCUGGACUGACACUGACACUGAGGUGCGAAAGCGUGGGUAGCAAACAGGAUUAGAUACCCCGGUAGUC
Molecule: ribosomal RNA, 465 nt
Filed under: Vreelandella stevensii
Lineage: Bacteria; Pseudomonadati; Pseudomonadota; Gammaproteobacteria; Oceanospirillales; Halomonadaceae
Description: partial 16S ribosomal RNA
Rfam family: Bacterial small subunit ribosomal RNA
Source: RNAcentral